Molecule: transfer RNA, 73 nt
Filed under: Actinomycetota bacterium
Lineage: Bacteria; Bacillati; Actinomycetota
Also listed under: 1 other name
Description: tRNA-Thr
Rfam family: tRNA
About the family: Transfer RNA (tRNA) molecules are approximately 80 nucleotides in length. Their secondary structure includes four short double-helical elements and three loops (D, anti-codon, and T loops).
Source: RNAcentral
GCCGGAGUAGCUCAGCUGGUAGAGCAGCUGAUUUGUAAUCAGCAGGCCGUCGGUUCGAGUCCGACCUCCGGCU